AUACGGAGGAUGCAAGCGUUAUCCGGAUUUAUUGGGUUUAAAGGGUGCGUAGGCGGUUUGCUAAGCGGGAGGUGAAAUGCCGGCGCUCAACGUCGGAAGUGCCUCCCGAACUGGUGGGCUUGAAUGACUCUGCCGUGGGAGGAAUGUGUAGUGUAGCGGUGAAAUGCUUAGAGAUUACACAGAACACCGAUUGCGAAGGCAUCUCACGAAGGGUUGAUUGACGCUGAGGCACGAAAGCGUGGGGAUCAAACAGGAUUAGAUACCCUGGUAGUCCACGCAGUAAACGAUGAUGGCUAACCGCUGGAUCCAUCGGUUCAAUGGCCAAGCGAAAGCGAUAAGCCAUCCACCUGGGGAGUACGACCGCAAGGUUGAAACUCAAAUGAAUUGACGGGG
RNAcentral lists this ribosomal RNA (393 nucleotides) under uncultured bacterium. RNAcentral describes it as "partial 16S ribosomal RNA". It matches the Rfam family "Bacterial small subunit ribosomal RNA", at positions 523 to 918 of the family's 1533-position model. The record is from RNAcentral.